CUACGGGUCGCACCAGUGGGGAAUAUUGCACAACGGGGGGAACCCUGAUGCAGCAACGCCGCGUGGAGGAUGACGCAUUUCGGUGUGUAAACUCCUUUUAUAUGUCAAGAAAAUGACGGUAGCAUAUGAAUAAGCACCGGCUAACUCCGUGCCAGCAGCCGCGGUAAUACGGAGGGUGCAAGCGUUACUCGGAAUCACUGGGCGUAAAGGACGCGUAGGCGGGUUGGAAAGUCAGGUGUGAAAUCCUACAGCUUAACUGUAGAACUGCACUUGAAACUUCUAAUCUAGAGUAUGGGAGGGGGAGAUGGAAUUAGUGGUGUAGGGGUAAAAUCCGUAGAUAUCACUAGGAAUACCUAAAGCGAAGGCGAUCUCCUGGAACAUUACUGACGCUAAGGCGUGAAAGCGUGGGGAGCAAACAGGAUUAGAUACCCUCGUAGUC
Molecule: ribosomal RNA, 439 nt
Filed under: uncultured bacterium
Lineage: Bacteria
Description: partial 16S ribosomal RNA
Rfam family: Bacterial small subunit ribosomal RNA
Source: RNAcentral